GGAGGAUUGGCAGAGCGGUCGAAUGCUGCGGUCUUGAAAACCGUUGUCCGUGCGAGCGGACCGGGGGUUCGAAUCCCUCAUCCUCCGCAA
RNAcentral lists this transfer RNA (90 nucleotides) under Bacteroidetes bacterium SW_10_40_5. RNAcentral describes it as "tRNA-Ser". It matches the Rfam family "tRNA". From Rfam's summary of the family: Transfer RNA (tRNA) molecules are approximately 80 nucleotides in length. Their secondary structure includes four short double-helical elements and three loops (D, anti-codon, and T loops). The record is from RNAcentral. Lineage: Bacteria; Pseudomonadati; Bacteroidota.